RNAcentral lists this ribosomal RNA (468 nucleotides) under uncultured bacterium. Its description in RNAcentral is "partial 16S ribosomal RNA". It matches the Rfam family "Bacterial small subunit ribosomal RNA", at positions 28 to 507 of the family's 1533-position model. The record is from RNAcentral.
GACGAACGCUGGCGGCGUGCUUAACACAUGCAAGUCGAACGGAAAGGCCCUGCUUUUGUGGGGUGCUCGAGUGGCGAACGGGUGAGUAACACGUGAGUAACCUGCCCUUGACUUUGGGAUAACUUCAGGAAACUGGGGCUAAUACCGGAUAGGAGCUCCUGCUGCAUGGUGGGGGUUGGAAAGUUUCGGCGGUUGGGGAUGGACUCGCGGCUUAUCAGCUUGUUUGUGGGGUAGUGGCUUACCAAGGCUUUGACGGGUAGCCGGCAUGAGAGGGUGAACGGCCACAUGGGGACUGAGAUACGGACCAGACUCCAACGGGAGGCAGCAGUCGGGAAUAUUGCACAAUGGGCGGAAGCGUGAUGCAGAGAUGCCGGGUGCGGGAUGACGGCUUUCGGGUUGUAAACCGAUUUCGCCUGUGACGAAGAGUGAGUGACGGUAAUGGGUAAAGAAGCACCGGCUAACUACGUG